CCUACGGGAGGCAGCAGUGGGGAAUAUUGCACAAUGGGGGAAACCCUGAUGCAGCGACGCCGCGUGAGUGAAGAAGUAUUUCGGUAUGUAAAGCUCUAUCAGCAGGGAAGAAACCCACCCUCCGGGGUGGCUGACGGUACCUGACUAAGAAGCCCCGGCUAACUACGUGCCAGCAGCCGCGGUAAUACGUAGGGGGCAAGCGUUAUCCGGAUUUACUGGGUGUAAAGGGAGCGUAGGUGGCAAGGCAAGUCAGAUGUGAAAACCCGGGGCUCAACCCCGGGACUACAUUGGAAACUGCCGAACUAGAGUGUCGGAGAGGCAAGUGGAAAUCCUAGUGUAGCGGUGUAAUGCGUAGAUAUUAGGAGGAACACCAGUGGCGAAGGCGGCUUGCUGGACGAUGACUGACGUUGAGGCUCGAAAGCGUGGGGAGCAAACAGGAUUAGAUACCCCUGUAGUC
RNAcentral lists this ribosomal RNA (457 nucleotides) under uncultured bacterium. RNAcentral describes it as "partial 16S ribosomal RNA". It matches the Rfam family "Bacterial small subunit ribosomal RNA", at positions 338 to 795 of the family's 1533-position model. The record is from RNAcentral.